RNAcentral lists this ribosomal RNA (221 nucleotides) under uncultured bacterium. Its description in RNAcentral is "partial 16S ribosomal RNA". It matches the Rfam family "Bacterial small subunit ribosomal RNA", at positions 1280 to 1500 of the family's 1533-position model. The record is from RNAcentral.
CUAGGUCGUCAGUUCAGAUUGUAGGCUGCAACCCGCCUGCAUGAAGUCAGAAUUGCUAGUAAUCGCGGAUCAGCAUGCCGCGGUGAAUACGUUCCCGGGCCUUGUACACACCGCCCGUCACACCAUGAGAGUCGGUAACACCCGAAGUCGGUAGUCUAACCGCAAGGAGGACGCCGCCGAAGGUGGGAUUGAUAAUUAGGGUGAAGUCGUAACAAGGUAAC